GAUUAUGGCUCAGAACGAACGCUGGUGGCGUGUCUAUACAUGCAAGUCGAGCGAGGCAGCAAUGCCGAGCGGCGAACGGGUGAGUAACGCGUAAGCAAUCUGCCCCAUAUCAGGAAAUACCCGUGCCAACGCGCGGUUAAUGUCCAGGAGAGUGGCCCUCCGCAUGGAGGGUUGACUAGAGAUUCAUCGGUAUGGGAUGAGCUUGCGUCCGAUUAGCUAGUUGGCGGGGCAACGGCCACCAAGGCGACGAUCGGUAGCCGGCCUGAGAGGGUGAUCGGCCACAUUGGGACUGAGAUACGGCCCAGACUCCUACGGGAGGCAGCAGUAGGGAAUAUUGCACAAUGGGGGGAACCCUGAUGCAGCAACGCCACGUGUGGGAAGAAGCAUUUCGGUGUGUAAACCACUGUCAUGAGGGAAUAAGGCCCUUAUUCGUAAGGGACUUGAAUGUACCUUGAGAGGAAGCACCGGCAAACUUCGUGCCAGCCGCGGC
Molecule: ribosomal RNA, 490 nt
Filed under: uncultured bacterium
Lineage: Bacteria
Description: bacterial SSU rRNA
Rfam family: Bacterial small subunit ribosomal RNA
Source: RNAcentral